AUACGUAGGUGGCGAGCGUUAUCCGGAUUUACUGGGUGUAAAGGGUGUGUAGGCGGGAUUGCAAGUCAGAUGUGAAAAUCAUGGGCUCAACUCAUGACCUGCAUUUGAAACUGUGGUUCUUGAGGGUCGGAGAGGUAACCGGAAUUCCUGGUGUAGCGGGGAAAUGCGUAGAUAUCAGGAGGAACACCGGUGGCGAAGGCGGGUUACUGGACGAUUACUGACGCUGAGACACGAAAGCGUGGGGAGCAAACAGGAUUAGAUACCCUGGUAGUCCACACUGUAAACGAUGAAUGCUAGGUGUAGGGGGUAUCGACCCCUUCUGUGCCGCAGUUAACACAAUAAGCAUUCCGCCUGGGGAGUACGGCCGCAAGGUUGAAACUCAAAUGAAUUGACGGGG
Molecule: ribosomal RNA, 397 nt
Filed under: uncultured bacterium
Lineage: Bacteria
Description: partial 16S ribosomal RNA
Rfam family: Bacterial small subunit ribosomal RNA
Source: RNAcentral